GUUUGCAGCUUCAGAACAUUGAGCGCAGAGGAGAGGUUUCCUUUCCACAGCCGUGAGGGUCUUCAGCACGCAAGAGGGACCUGCAGCCGAGAGAGAUCCUUCACCUACGCACGAGAGAAGGAGACGGCAGGAGGGCGUUCUGCAUUGGGGAUCUCCAGCGGAGGUGCACGCUCGGGUAAAGGGGAGUGUUUGUUUUGCAGGAACCGCCAUAGGAGACGCUAAGGAGGUGCAAGGGUCACAAGCUUGCCAAGGUGGAAAAUUGUUAGAGCGUCAAGCUUAGAGGAAUUCGGGCCAUCCAUUUGAUGGGAUGAUCAAACGGCUAUGGUGUUUUUAUUUGUUAAGGAGGGGCAUUGUUGUAAUUUGCUUUUUUUUCUUUGGUUGUAAAUUAAACAGCAGGGGCAGGGGUUUUCAUCUUGUGGUUUUGCAGCUUCAGAACAUUGAGCGCAGAGGAGAGGUUUCCCUUCCACAACCGCAAGGGCCUUCAGCGCGCGAGAGGGACUUGCAACCAAGAGAGAUCCUUCACCUGUGCGCAAGAGAAAGAAACGGCAAGAGGGCGUUCGGUGUUGGGGAUCUCCAGCGGAGGUGCACGCUCGGCUAAAGGGGAGGUAAUGCACAGAUCUAAUUUCUUGGGAGAGUUUUUUUUAGGGAAAUUAGGGAGAAGGAUAGGAAGAAGCCUAGAGUUCUUCACAGGUGCGAAGAGAGCGUUUUCUUGGGUCGUUCUUGAACUGAUUUCCAGAGGAGAUUGGUAAGCCAAAAAAGGAUAAAUCUGUGUACAUGCGUUUAUUUUCACCGUAUUUAAUAUAAUAUCUCUAAA
Long non-coding RNA from Malania oleifera, 814 nucleotides. RefSeq lists it as uncharacterized. The transcript has 2 exons. The record is from RefSeq and is a predicted model, not a curated record. Lineage: Eukaryota; Viridiplantae; Streptophyta; Magnoliopsida; Santalales; Ximeniaceae.